This 253-nucleotide ribosomal RNA is filed under the name uncultured bacterium. RNAcentral describes it as "partial 16S ribosomal RNA". It matches the Rfam family "Bacterial small subunit ribosomal RNA", at positions 524 to 776 of the family's 1533-position model. The record is from RNAcentral.
GACGUAGGGCGCGAGCGUUGUCCGGAUUUAUUGGGCGUAAAGAGCUCGUAGGCGGCUUGUUGCGUCGGCUGUGAAAACCCGCGGCUUAACUGCGGGCUUGCAGUUGAUACGGGCAGGCUAGAGUUCGGUAGGGGAGACUGGAAUUCCUGGUGUAGCGGUGAAAUGCGCAGAUAUCAGGAGGAACACCGAUGGCGAAGGCAGGUCUCUGGGCCGAUACUGACGCUGAGGAGCGAAAGCGUGGGGAGCGAACAGG